GGAAACUGGAAUUAAUACCGCAUACGCCCUACGGGGGAAAGAUUUAUCGGGGAAGGAUUGGCCCGCGUUGGAUUAGCUAGUUGGUGGGGUAAAGGCCUACCAAGGCGACGAUCCAUAGCUGGUCUGAGAGGAUGAUCAGCCACAUUGGGACUGAGACACGGCCCAAACUCCUACGGGAGGCAGCAGUGGGGAAUAUUGGACAAUGGGCGCAAGCCUGAUCCAGCCAUGCCGCGUGAGUGAUGAAGGCCUUAGGGUUGUAAAGCUCUUUCACCGGAGAAGAUAAUGACGGUAUCCGGAGAAGAAGCCCCGGCUAACUUCGUGCCAGCAGCCGCGGUAAUACGAAGGGGGCUAGCGUUGUUCGGAAUUACUGGGCGUAAAGC
RNAcentral lists this ribosomal RNA (380 nucleotides) under Agrobacterium tumefaciens. RNAcentral's name for it is "bacterial SSU rRNA". It matches the Rfam family "Bacterial small subunit ribosomal RNA", at positions 152 to 566 of the family's 1533-position model. Lineage: Bacteria; Pseudomonadati; Pseudomonadota; Alphaproteobacteria; Hyphomicrobiales; Rhizobiaceae. The record is from RNAcentral.